Long non-coding RNA from Carassius carassius (crucian carp), 1143 nucleotides. RefSeq lists it as uncharacterized. The record is from RefSeq and is a predicted model, not a curated record. The transcript has 2 exons. Lineage: Eukaryota; Metazoa; Chordata; Actinopteri; Cypriniformes; Cyprinidae.
ACAUUGUUCUUUUGGCCUAAGUGAAUCCUGAAGUCUUUGCUCUACAGAUGCAAGUAAUCCUUCCUGCUCCAAAUUUAACUGGGAUGAAAUUGGCUACGUGUUGAAUAUUAGAGACUUUUAUCUGUGGUCUGUCACGGAGAGCUGCUAAUCUGUUUAUGGAUAGUGGAAAAAUUUAUCAUUUGUGAAUGGGGAUUUCCACUUCCUCUCUCUCUUAUGAGAUGGUCAGGACACUUACGCACUAGAAAAACUCUGAUGGAUAAGAAUUUCUAAAAAGCAUUUGUACUACACUGCCACAUCCACAGUUUUUGUAGCACAUCAUCUUCAAAGAAGUCAAGAAAUUUGUAGCAACCAAAAGUUUAUUUAUGUUUAAGUAUCCUAAGACUGAACGGAGUUGUGUUUGCUGUGCUAUUUUAUAGUUUUGAGCUAACAGUUUCCAAGCAAACAUUUAACAUACCCAUCUUUGUGUCCUCCAAAUGCAUCCCGUCUGGUUCCCACAUCUCCACCCACACAUGUACGUUUCCCUCAUUCUCACCCGGCACGCAAACACGCACAUCCACAAACUAAACCACCGUUGUGGGCGGUUGUCCUUUUAAUCACACAUCUCUCAAGUGAUUGACUGCUCCUUUGGUGAUGUAACAAUAUCCCUGAUCCCAGUGCUGCCUCACGCCUCAGAACACACAUACAGACACUGAGAGAUACAGAGAUCAAGUCUUAUCAUUCUCACUGAGCCUCAGACCUCUGCGUUGGAGGAGGUAGAGACCAGCCUUAGUCUGCUCAUAUAGAGUCUAAAUCUUUACAAAAUAUAAUAGAGAGAGGAAGAGUGAUCACAAAAAAGGGAUGCUGGAUUUGCCAAAGUUGUGAAGUUCAUGGCUGCAAGUAUUUGAAAGUCCACAUACUUUUUAUGCUGAAUUAUGUUCAUAAAAUAGUCUGUAUGAAUUGCUUUUUAGUAGCUGAACAUUUUGAGCACAAAGUCAACAUAUAUUUUUCACUAUGUUUUUCCGUUUCUGUGGGCCAGGAGUGUCUAAGUUAAAGAAAAGUGAAAUAUUUGAAUAAUUUUGCAUAGAAUGCAUGUGCUAAGUUCUUAGGAACUACUCGUUGCACGCUUUAAACCAUUUCAAAAAUAAAUAAAUCAUUUAAAAAAAA